Molecule: ribosomal RNA, 494 nt
Filed under: uncultured bacterium
Lineage: Bacteria
Description: partial 16S ribosomal RNA
Rfam family: Bacterial small subunit ribosomal RNA
Source: RNAcentral
GACGAACGCUGGCGGCGCGCUUAACACAUGCAAGUCGAACGGAAAGGCCUGCUUUCCCUUGUGGAUUGCGGGUACUCGAGUGGCGAACGGGUGAGUAACACGUGAGUGAUCUGCCCCCAACUUGGGUCUAAGCCUGGGAAACUGGGUCUAAUUCCCGAUAGGACUGCAGGGUGGUGCCUGUGGUGGAAAACGAUUUUCUAGUGGUUGGGGAUGAGCUCGCGGCCUAUCAGCUUGUUGGUGGGGUAAUGGCCUACCAAGGCGGCGACGGGGAGCCGGCCUGAGAGGGUGGACGGCCACAUUGGGACAGGGAUACGGCCCAGACUGCUACGGGAGGCAGGAGUGGGGAAUAAUGGACAAUGGGCGGAAGCCUGAAGCAGCGACGGCGCGUGGGGGAUGACGGCCUUCGGGUUGUAAACUCCUUGCGACCGCGAGGAAGCCACCUGGUUGGAAGGGUGGUGACGGUAGUGGUAGAAGAAGCACCGGCUAACUACGUG